GAUGUCAUGACACCACAUUUUUUUGAGGAGAGCUUGAGGGUGACUGCAGAAAGUUAUAUCAAUGUGUUACAACUGUUAUGAAGCCCUAGAUAGUCAAGGUUGCCUCUGGGAUGGACUGUGUGUUCCAGCAAGACUCCGCUCCAGAUCAUAAGGCAACGAAAACCUGGCCUUGUGAGCCGGAGCCUGGCUUUUCAGUAACCUGCCCUACCACUGGUCAUCUGACUUGUGGCCUCUUUCCAGCUCAGACUGCAUCCCUGUCAACUAUUGUGUGGGGUGUGGUUGAAGCAAAGGUCAAUAAGACUCAUCAUAACAU
RNAcentral lists this long non-coding RNA (313 nucleotides) under Androctonus crassicauda. Lineage: Eukaryota; Metazoa; Arthropoda; Arachnida; Scorpiones; Buthidae. The record is from RNAcentral.